ACUCACCAGGUCAGGACACGGUAAGGAUUGACGGACUGAAGGCUCUUUCUCGAUUCCGUGGAAAGUGGUGCAUGGCCGUUUUUGGUUGGUGGAUCGAUCCGUCUGGUUAAUUCCGUUAACGAACGAGACCUCGGCACUCCGAAUAGCGCGGCGGACGUCGCGGCCUCCGGGCCGUCUUCCGCACGAGCUUCUUAGAGGGGACCGUCCCCCCGCCGGGGAAGGAGGUGCGAGGCAACGACAGGUCUGUGAUGCCCUUAGAUGUUCUGGGCCGCACGCGCAUUACACUGACGCGUCCAACGGGUGACUCCCGACCCGAAGGGGCCGGGGAAUCCGCAAGGCGCGUCGUGAUGGGGAUUGAACGUUGCAAUUGUUGUUCACGAACGAGGAAUUCCUAGUAGGCGCGGGUCAUCAACCCGCGCCGAUUACGUCCCUGCCCUUUGUACACACCGC
Molecule: ribosomal RNA, 450 nt
Filed under: uncultured eukaryote
Lineage: Eukaryota
Description: bacterial SSU rRNA
Rfam family: Eukaryotic small subunit ribosomal RNA
Source: RNAcentral